This 72-nucleotide transfer RNA is filed under the name Ophiocordyceps sinensis CO18. RNAcentral describes it as "tRNA-Arg (TCG) (tRNA-Arg-TCG-1-1)". It matches the Rfam family "tRNA". Rfam says of the family: Transfer RNA (tRNA) molecules are approximately 80 nucleotides in length. Lineage: Eukaryota; Fungi; Ascomycota; Sordariomycetes; Hypocreales; Ophiocordycipitaceae. The record is from RNAcentral.
GGCCGCGUGGCGCAAUGGUAGCGCGUUAGAUUUCGGCUCUAAAGAUUCCAGGUUCGAUCCCUGGCGUGGUCG